Molecule: long non-coding RNA, 428 nt
Organism: Aedes aegypti (yellow fever mosquito)
Lineage: Eukaryota; Metazoa; Arthropoda; Insecta; Diptera; Culicidae
Exons: 2
Source: RefSeq, a predicted model, not a curated record
GCAUUGCAUUUCAUCUCAUCAUUUGAUCAUCUGAGAAAGAUAUGGAUCGAAUAAUGCAAUAUCAUCUUAGAGCUCUUUGAUCGAUCUUUGAUCAAUAUCUUUGACUCAUUUGAUGCUCGAUGAAAUCUUCCAAACACAGUAAUCCAUGCGGUUAUGGAAAACCAUUUUGACAAUGCCACCGUUUGGCAAUGGCUUUGAAGGGCAAACGGCAAACGAAAGUUUUCCAGCAUGUUACAACAGUACACCAAAGUUACAACAGUGGGUAGCACCAAAGUUGCGCGUUCUACUUAAAAUUAAAUGGAAGCCAGUUCUAGGGACCCUCAGCUGGACAUUCUGAAUAUAUUUAUUUUUAAACUCUAUUCUUUGUGGUUCGUUUUUUUAUAUGGAUUGAAGCUAUGUUCUAAUAAAAUAUUAUUUAGAAGUCCAAA